Passer montanus (Eurasian tree sparrow) is the source of this 513-nucleotide long non-coding RNA. RefSeq lists it as uncharacterized. NCBI's taxonomy places the organism in Eukaryota, Metazoa, Chordata, Aves, Passeriformes, Passeridae. The record is from RefSeq and is a predicted model, not a curated record. The transcript is spliced from 3 exons.
GCGGGCUCCUGUGCCGCCUGCGCGCCAGGAGGAAUUUUGGAUCUGCGGAGGAAUUUCUUCUCAGAAGAAGCGUGUUUCUGCUCAGAAUUCUGAGAAGAAUUUCUUCUCAGAAAGUGCGAUUGGGCUCUGAAAUGGGCUGCCCAGGGGGCUGGUGGGUGUCACCGUCCCUGCAGGUGAUGGUGGUGUCGGGUCACGGCUUGGGCUCGAUGGGAUCAGAGGUCCUUUCCAGCCUCAGUGACUCUGGGCUCAGGCAUCCGUCCCUUGGGAAAUCCACAGCAAAGUUAAGAUUUAACUUCACGCUGCAGAGUCCUCCCACCGUGUGACACCUGCUGAUCUCUCCAGCCAACCUCCUUUCUCCUGCCGCUGGCCCCAGGGUGGGCACCGGGACACGGAACAGAAGCAGUUUAUCCAGUGAAAAGUUUUGUCCUUCUGGAUCUGCACCAGUGUAAUUCUCAGUUCAAUCAGAAUUUCUCUGGUGCUGGUUUUGUGUUGGCUGAAGGAGAUGCACUUCAC